GAUGAAGAACGUAGCGAAAUGCGAUACGUAAUGUGAAUUGCAGAAUUCAGUGAAUCAUCGAAUCUUUAAACGCAUAUUGCGCUCUCUGGUAUUCCGGAGAGCAUGCUUGUUUGAGUAUCAGUAAACACCUCAACUCCCUUUUCUUUUUUGAAAUUGGAGCUGGACUUGAGUGAUCCCAACGCUUUCUUCCAAGAAAGUGGCGGGUUGCUUGAAAUGCAGGUGCAGCUGAACUUUUCUCUGAGCUAUAAGCAUAUCUAUUUAGUCUGCCUAAAAAACAGAUUAUUACCUUUGCUGCAGCUAACAUAAAGGAGACUAGUUCUUGUGCUGACUGAUGCAGGAUUCACAGAGACAGCUUCGGCUGACUUUGUAAACUCGAUCUCAAAUCAAGUAAGACUACCCGCUGAACUUAAGCAUAUCAAUAAGCGGAGGA
Molecule: unclassified non-coding RNA, 430 nt
Filed under: soil metagenome
Description: partial contains 5.8S ribosomal RNA, internal transcribed spacer 2, and large subunit ribosomal RNA
Rfam family: 5.8S ribosomal RNA (bases 1-120)
Source: RNAcentral